AGAACGGACGCUGGCGGCAUGCCUAAUACAUGCAAGUCGAACGAACACUUCGGUGUUAGUGGCGCACGGGUGCGUAACGCGUGGGAAUCUGCCCUUGGGUUCGGAAUAACAGUUGGAAACGACUGCUAAUACCGGAUGAUAUCGAAAGAUCAAAGAUUUAUCGCCCAGGGAUGAGCCCGCGUAGGAUUAGCUAGUUGGUGAGGUAAAGGCUCACCAAGGCGACGAUCCUUAGCUGGUCUGAGAGGACGAUCAGCCACACUGGGACUGAGACACGGCCCAGACUCCUACGGGAGGCAGCAGUAGGGAAUAUUGGACAAUGGGCGCAAGCCUGAUCCAGCAAUGCCGCGUGAGUGAUGAAGGCCUUAGGGUUGUAAAGCUCUUUUACCCGAGAUGAUAAUGACAGUAUCGGAGAAUAAGCCCCGCUAACUCCGUGCCAGCAGCCGC
RNAcentral lists this ribosomal RNA (444 nucleotides) under uncultured soil bacterium. RNAcentral's name for it is "bacterial SSU rRNA". It matches the Rfam family "Bacterial small subunit ribosomal RNA", at positions 26 to 518 of the family's 1533-position model. The record is from RNAcentral.